GAUGAAGAACGUAGCGAAAUGCGAUACGUAAUGUGAAUUGCAGAAUUCAGUGAAUCAUCGAGUCUUUGAACGCACAUUGCGCCCCCUGGUAUUCCGGGGGGCAUGCCUGUCCGAGCGUCAUUGCUGCCCUCAAGCACGGCUUGUGUGUUGGGCCUCCGUCCUCCUCCCGGGGGACGGGCCCGAAAGGCAGCGGCGGCACCGCGUCCGGUCCUCGAGCGUAUGGGGCUUCGUCACCCGCUCUUGUAGGCCCGGCCGGCGCUUGCCGACACAUCAAUCUUUUUUCCAGGUUGACCUCGGAUCAGGUAGGGAUACCCGCUGAACUUAAGCAUAUCAAUAAGCGAGGA
Molecule: unclassified non-coding RNA, 344 nt
Filed under: soil metagenome
Description: partial contains 5.8S ribosomal RNA, internal transcribed spacer 2, and large subunit ribosomal RNA
Rfam family: 5.8S ribosomal RNA (bases 1-120)
Source: RNAcentral